CCUACGGGCGGCAGCAGUGAGGAAUAUUGGUCAAUGGGCGCGAGCCUGAACCAGCCAAGUCGCGUGAGGGAGGACGGCCCUACGGGUUGUAAACCUCUUUUGCCGGGGAGCAACGGGCGCCACGUGUGGCGUGACUGAGAGUACCCGGAGAAAAAGCAUCGGCUAACUCCGUGCCAGCAGCCGCGGUAAUACGGAGGAUGCGAGCGUUAUCCGGAUUUAUUGGGUUAAAAGGGUGCGUAUGCGAAUCGGUAAGCAAGUGGGAAAAGUGCGGGGCUCAACCCCUUCCCGCCAUUGAAACUGGCGUUCUGGAGUGGAAGAGAAGUAUGCGGAAUGCGUGGUGUAGCGGUGAAAUGCAUAGAUAUCACGCAGAACCCCGAUUGCGAAGGCAGCAUGCCGGCUUCCGACUGACGCUGAGGCACGAAAGCGUGGGGAUCGAACAGGAUUAGAUACCCUUGUAGUC
RNAcentral lists this ribosomal RNA (460 nucleotides) under uncultured bacterium. RNAcentral describes it as "partial 16S ribosomal RNA". It matches the Rfam family "Bacterial small subunit ribosomal RNA", at positions 338 to 795 of the family's 1533-position model. The record is from RNAcentral.